This 1489-nucleotide long non-coding RNA is filed under the name Felis catus (domestic cat). RNAcentral's name for it is "lncRNA (ENSFCAG00000050679.1)". Lineage: Eukaryota; Metazoa; Chordata; Mammalia; Carnivora; Felidae. The record is from RNAcentral.
CCCAACCGACUUCUGGUUCUCGGGAGAGUGUGUGUGAGGGUGCGAGUACUAAAGCAAAAAAAAUAAAAAUAAUUCCACUACUAAUAUAAUGGAUCUGUGUGUGAAUAGAGAAUAUGGAGAGAUAUAAAACCAGGGAGGUAAGAAAAGCUCACGGAAAAGUGUAAAUUAUAAAGAUCACACGGGAAGAGAGGCUUGCCUUUUGAGAUCAGAAACUGUUCCAGUUGCAGUAAAAUUUUUUUUAAAAAAAGGAGGAAAAAAAAAAUAAAAAGACACCCCCCACCCCCCCAAGUGAGAUGCCUUAAUCUCUUUUCCUAAAAUUCUGGUCUCCAGUUUCCAUAUGUGAUAGCUAAUUUGGAGAUGGCUUCCACAGUGAACCAGGGAACAGCCGCAUUCUCAACACAAUCUCUCAUGGUCGGGACCUAGACAGUUAGAGAUUGUAAAAGCCGGGAUGCAACCUUCCGUCUUCGUUCUCGGCUCUGCGGCCUGCGCCAUGAAAAUCCUUUGCUUCGCCAGUUCUCUUCCUUGGGGGGGGGGGGGGGUGUCUCGGGCGCUUUCGUUUCAGACCAGACUUCCCAGUAUUCUGUAAGCCCUUGAUCUCAGCUGAACAGGUGCGGGGGUCUCGCCUUCCAUGGUUUUGCCCCGGCAGCGGCAGCGGCGGCGGCAGCAGGGCGGGCAGGCACGGCGGCGGCGGCGGCGGCGGCGGCGGCGGCGGCAGGACGAGCAGCGGCGGCGGUUAUUGUUGUUGGUGGCGGGGGUAGUGUUGGCGAAGUGGGGGAGGGAGGGGGUUUCUCCCGGAGAAUCGAGGCGGGUUUCCCUCCCCCUAUCUGCAAAGCUCCUGGAAACAAGGGAGCCGGCGUCUUGCUGCAGGAUGGGCCGCCCGCCUGCCCCCCCACUCGCUGCCGGCUCGGCCCCCGGCGGAGGCGCUCCCACCUACUGCAUUACCGGGUGGUGCUGAACUGGACAGCUCCCUGCGCCGCCCGCUCCGCGCGCGCCCCGGCUCGCUGGGCGGCCCGCCAGGAGGGGGGCGCGGGCCGGAGUCCUCCCUCCCUCCGGGGGCGGCAGGGCCGGGGCAGAGCCGGGGGCUGCCUUCCCUCUUUUUACCCCUCUCCCCAAAUCCUAAAAUGAGCGCUCUUCUGGGCUCCCGGAGCUCGGAGGAAGGCGUAGCUAGAGAUAGCUUGCUCCCUCUCCCUCUCCCUCUCUCUCUCUCUCUCUCUCUCUCUCUCUCCUGCCCUCCCCCCUUGGUGUUUCUUCCAGCUCAGCCUCCUUCUCAUUCCAUCUCUACGUGCCCAGAGCUUCAAAUACAACCCUCCCAUCGCAAUCAGAUGGGCACAAAACUUCAAGCAGCCGUUUCUCUGCCUGGAAGCGGUGAAAAUAUAGCCUGGAUGGGAACCAAUGACCGAAUGUGGAGUGCUGGAGGGAAGUCCGUGGUGUGACAGGAGCACAGCAUGGGAAGCGACAGUGAGGGAAGGCUUCAUGGAGGAGGUGACAU